RNAcentral lists this ribosomal RNA (97 nucleotides) under Labrus bergylta (ballan wrasse). The record is from RNAcentral. Lineage: Eukaryota; Metazoa; Chordata; Actinopteri; Labriformes; Labridae.
AUAAAAAAAAAAAACGCCCGAUCUCGUCCGAAGCUAAGCAGGGUCGGGCCUGGUUAGUACUUGGAUGGGAGACCGCCUGGGAAUACCAGGUGCUGUA